Brienomyrus brachyistius is the source of this 1291-nucleotide long non-coding RNA. RefSeq lists it as uncharacterized. The transcript is spliced from 2 exons. The record is from RefSeq and is a predicted model, not a curated record. Lineage: Eukaryota; Metazoa; Chordata; Actinopteri; Osteoglossiformes; Mormyridae.
AACACGCACUUGUUUUCUUGUGUUAAAGUCCAUUUCACUACGAUGCUCACCAGAUUUUCCAGGCAAGAAACCUGCGGUGCCGUUGUGUCCAUUACGCGCCCACAGACCACCUUCCUGACUACCGUGUAAAACCUCCCAUGUCACAUGAUCACAAGGGCAGCACUACACACAUUGAGGUGCUUCUGGGAUCUACCCCCUUCCUGGAUGAGAGGCUCCUGGACCCAGCCUGUGGGUGCAGAUGGCAGAAGAUUCCCCCCACCUGGGCUGUUCUCGUCACGACUACGAGAGCAGCGACGGGCUGUCCAGGAAUCUCUUUGGCGUUGCCCCCAUAAUCCUUCUGCUAUUGGCUCCCGGGAGGUUUGCUGGCCCAAGUCGUCCUCAAGCCGUUCCGGUUGGCGGUAGAGGUUCUGCAUUGGCCUUUCGUGGGAGGACGAGAACCGCUGCAAUUGGCUCGCGCUGGAUGUGGCUGAGAGGGGCUCCAGUUCCAGGUCUGUGCCUCUGGAACCUGAACACAGGUACAAAGUCAUUGUCCACUAAUGUUUAGCCUCUAAACCUGGUGCCUCAGCAUUGUCUAAAGAGGUUAUUCAUGGGGGAGGGUGUGUGAAGCUCUCAUAAAGCCAAACAGAGUGCUGAGAAAGAGUGCUGAAAAGCCUACUUUGGAAAAUGAUUUGCUUAAUGGUAUUAUUAAGUUCUGCGGCAGACUGAAAGCCUUUUCUUCCAGACCCGGGGGUAACAGAAUAUUAGAGGGCACAAUGUGUAAGCAACACCAGCACUAUAGAAGAACAUAAUAUGAGCAGAUCCAGUGUCACCACAGGUAUCCAAGUUCCGUGUCGGAAAAUGAUUGGAGCCCUCAGAAGAUUUCUGGAACAUCAAUCAGUACAGUACUUCCUAGCUGAGUGCCUGAUACUCACUGGCAUAGCUAGGUCUCCUCGGGGGGGGCCUGGAUUCCAUGUUCUUUCUGGGAGGCAAUGAGAAAAACCUGUGUCGCCUGGACACACCCUGAAAGAUAUGGUGGAGAGGUAGGAGGUAUGAGGUCACAGCAGGGACAUGAUCUCCAAAUGAUAACAUACGUGUGAGCAGAACAGUGAACUUCCUCAAAAUCCACUUAGUUUACAGCACAAUCAAUGCCAGUGAUAUUUCAGGUAUAUACUGCAUAACACAUUGUGUUGAAAUUAUGUACAAAGUUAUCCUUUUUAAGGUCAGAAUUUGAAUGUCACAUCGUAAAUAUGAAACGGGUAGAACCUUGUUUGUUUUAAUAUUAAUAAAACAAAUAAAGGCCUUCAACAACUGA